RNAcentral lists this ribosomal RNA (401 nucleotides) under uncultured bacterium. RNAcentral's name for it is "bacterial SSU rRNA". It matches the Rfam family "Bacterial small subunit ribosomal RNA", at positions 355 to 773 of the family's 1533-position model. The record is from RNAcentral.
UGGGGAAUCUUGCACAAUGGGGGAAACCCUGAUGCAGCGACGCCGCGUGAGCGAUGAAGCCCUUCGGGGUGUAAAGCUCUUUCGGCAGGGAAGAUUAUGACGGUACCUGCAGAAGCAGCUGCGGCUAACUACGUGCCAGCAGCCGCGGUAAUACGUAGGCAGCAAGCGUUGUUCGGAGUUACUGGGCGUAAAGGGUGCGUAGGCGGCCCUAUAAGUAUGGUGUGAAAUCUCCCGGCUUAACUGGGAGGGUGCGCUAUAGACUGUGGGGCUCGAGUGUGGGAGAGGAAAGUGGAAUUCCUGGUGUAGCGGUGAAAUGCGUAGAUAUCAGGAGGAACACCGGUGGUGUAAACGGCUUUCUGGACCAUAACUGACGCUGAGGCACGAAAGCGUGGGUAGCAAAC